UAUUGGGCAAUGGGCGCAAGCCUGACCCAGCAACGCCGCGUGAGGGAAGAAGGUCUUCGGAUUGUAAACCUCUUUCAGCAGGGAAGAAGAAAGUGACGGUACCUGCAGAAGAAGUCACGGCUAACUACGUGCCAGCAGCCGCGGUAAUACGUAGGUGGCGAGCGUUAUCCGGAAUUACUGGGUGUAAAGGGUGUGUAGGCGGGAGUGCAAGUCAGACGUGAAAUCCCGCGGCUCAACCGCGGAACUGCGUUUGAAACUGUAGAUCUUGAGUACUGGAGAGGCAGGCGGAAUUCCUAGUGUAGCGGUGAAAUGCGUAGAUAUUAGGAGGAACACCAGUGGCGAAGGCGGCCUGCCGGACAGCAACUGACGGUGAGGCGCGAAAGCGUGGGGAGCAAACAGGA
Molecule: ribosomal RNA, 401 nt
Filed under: uncultured bacterium
Lineage: Bacteria
Description: bacterial SSU rRNA
Rfam family: Bacterial small subunit ribosomal RNA
Source: RNAcentral